AAAUCGCACAAAUGCUCUAAGCACAGAUCAUAUCGAAAAACCCACUUUCCUCGUCUCACCUCUGUCGAUCUCCUCCAUCUCUCCGCCGACGCUACCUCCUCCGCGGCGCCGCGACCUGCAGUAGAAGACGCCGUCGACGCCGCCAUUCCGUCUCGACCUUCCGCAGACCCUGCUAGCCUUCACCACCGCUAUUGCAGAUGGCUUCAUCUAGGAGAAGACAUCAUCUCCAUUGGGCAUUCUUUUGAUUAUUUUUCACGGUCUGAUGUACUUGUUUAGUAUUUGUGUGCAUUAAGUCAUAUAUGGAUGCAAUACAAGAAAUUGAGAUGAGUGGUGAAGAGGUUGCAGAAGAUGAUGGUGGAACAUCUGCAGGAAUGGGUGAUGAGAACACAAGGAUUAUUGAAGAGAAGACUAACAACUUCACAGAUUUCAGGCCUGCUCCAUUACACGUGUUGUACGACGUGAGAGUCAACAUCCAACCUGAAACUCCCAUCUCCACUUUGAAGAACAUUUUGAAGGCAUCAAACUCUGAGCUCAAGUACAACCGCCCCGAGCUAAGGAAGGCUGAAGAAAGAUUGAGAAAGGCAUUCAUGGAGUUCUAUGGAAAGCUUAGACUUCUCAAGAGUUACUGUAUUUCUUGAACACAUUGGCAUUUUCCAAAAUCAUGAAGAACUAUGACAAGAUCACUUCAAGGAAAGCUUCAAGGUCAUACCUAGAGAUGGUUGAUAAGUCUUAUCUUGGAAGCUCUGAUGAGGAUUAUCGAGAAGGCAUUUGCGUUUUGGAGGCUGUUUGUGCUGUUUUAGCUUUUGGAGGCUGUUUUAGCUUUAAAAUGAGUAAAGUUGCCUAGAAUGGAGUCCACUGUACUAAUAAUUUGAAUGGGAAUGUUCACUGCAGUAUUUGCUGUCGUCCUCUGUUGAUAAAACAGCUCAUCUGUGGCAAGUAGGACAUGAUCAAUGCCUUGGUGUUUAUCCGCAUAAUAACUAUGGAAAAAAGUGGAGUAUUGGGCUGAACAGUUGGGGCUUUUGAAGGAGGAUGAAGGGGGCAGGAGGUGGCAGAAGAGGAUUGUGAGCUGAAUGUGAAGUAUUUGGUUGAAAUUUGUGUGUAUUAAUAGCUAAUUGUUGGAUUAAUUGUAGUAUUUCUAAUUAUUUUGAUUUUUGAACCAGAAUUUGAGUUCCCGGAAUCAAUAAAGUAGCCUUUUCUUUCUGAGUUGUUUUAA
Molecule: long non-coding RNA, 1213 nt
Organism: Ipomoea triloba (trilobed morning glory)
Lineage: Eukaryota; Viridiplantae; Streptophyta; Magnoliopsida; Solanales; Convolvulaceae
Exons: 6
Source: RefSeq, a predicted model, not a curated record